UACGAAGGGGGCAAGCGUUGCCCGGAAUCACUGGGCGUAAAGCGCACGUAGGCGGAUUGCUAAGUCAGGGGUGAAAUCCUGGAGCUCAACUCCAGAACUGCCUUUGAUACUGGCGAUCUUGAGUCCGGGAGAGGUGAGUGGAGCUGCGAGUGUAGAGGUGAAAUUCGUAGAUAUUCGCAAGAACACCAGUGGCGAAGGCGGCUCGCUGGCCCGGUACUGACGCUGAGGUGCGAAAGCGUGGGGAGCAAACAGG
This 253-nucleotide ribosomal RNA is filed under the name uncultured bacterium. Its description in RNAcentral is "partial 16S ribosomal RNA". It matches the Rfam family "Bacterial small subunit ribosomal RNA", at positions 524 to 776 of the family's 1533-position model. The record is from RNAcentral.